AGUUGUAAUUUGCAGAGGGCGCUUUGGCAUUGGCAGCGGUCCAAGUUCCUUGGAACAGGACGUCACAGAGGGUGAGAAUCCCGUACGUGGUCGCUAGCCUUUACCGUGUAAAGCCCCUUCGACGAGUCGAGUUGUUUGGGAAUGCAGCUCUAAAUGGGAGGUAAAUUUCUUCUAAAGCUAAAUACUGGCCAGAGACCGAUAGCGCACAAGUAGAGUGAUCGAAAGAUGAAAAGCACUUUGGAAAGAGAGUUAAAAAGCACGUGAAAUUGUUGAAAGGGAAGCGCUUGCAGCCAGACUUGCCUGUAGUUGCUCAUCUAGGUUUCUACCUAGUGCACUCUUCUAUAGGCAGGCCAGCAUCAGUUUGGGCGGUUGGAUAAAGGUCUCUGUCAUGUACCUCUCUUCGGGGAGAACUUAUAGGGGAGACGACAUGCAACCAGCCUGGACUGAGGUCCGCGCAUCUGCUAGGAUGCUGGCGUAAUGGCUGUAAGCGGCCCGUCUUGAA
Molecule: ribosomal RNA, 502 nt
Filed under: fungal endophyte sp. DM130
Lineage: Eukaryota; Fungi
Description: eukaryotic LSU rRNA
Rfam family: Eukaryotic large subunit ribosomal RNA
Source: RNAcentral